AUAAAAUAAAAUAAAAUAAAAAGAUGCUCUUCUCCCACUCUACACUCCCCAAUGCGACUUCUUUUCACUCCCUUUCUUACUCUCGUCAAAGGUCCUCCACUUCCUCGCGUCUCCUCUCAGCCACAACCUUAACCAACGGUUCCACUGCCAGGUUCAAAAUGUCGUCGGAUUCGCUUCCUCCUCUUCCGGAAUCCCGCAUCGUUCUAGGAUGUGGAGGAAUAUCGGUGGAUUUCUUGGCCGCUGUCGCUGCUUAUCCUAAGCCUGAUGAUAAGAUCAGAAGUACAAGCUUAAAGGUUCAAGGAGGUGGAAAUGCUGGGAAUUCUAUGACUUGCGCCGCUCGUUUGGGCUUAAAUCCUAGGAUAAUUUCCAAGAUUGCUGAUGACUCUCAAGGCAGGAGUAUUUUGGAGGAACUAGAAGCUGACGGUGUGGAUACUGCCUUUAUUGUGGUUUCCAAGGAUGGUAAUUCGCCGUUUACCUAUGUCAUUGUUGACAACCAAACGUAAGGGCCCUUACUUGAAUAAUUUGCUCUGUCUCACUCUCUAUGCUAGUGGUGCCUAUUUUUUCUUGAUGUCGUUAAUUUGUAUAAAUGUAUUGGGUAAAAAUCCAGAAAGUUUUACAUAAUUAUCAUGUCUAAGGUUUGCACUUAAGUAAGUUACUUGUCCAUUUGACAGUCCUUCGGAUAAAAGGAAAGGAGGAAAAGUAAUUGUUGGAUAUUUAGUUUCAUUUGUGGUUAAAAGGUUGAAGUCUUCUGUAUAUUGUUUUCAGCAAUUAGAUGAGGAUCUAAACCCUGUUAUUUUACAGCUUAGGACAGAAAAUAUUGCUUUCCUAUCUAAAAUGAAUGGUGAAAAUUCUGGAAGGUUAGAUUGCAUUAGUAUCCCGGAUUUUCAUAAUCAACAGAAUCAUAUUGAGGGAGUGAAAUUGGGGGUGGUUACACAGAAGACGUUAUCUUGUUAAUACUCAUUGUCGUUUUACUUUUAGAUUCCUAUGAUGUUUCCCUAGUGACUGAGCACAAUCUCAUUUAUGAUAAAUUGGUCUCGAGUUCAGAGGUGUGUUUGGUUGCUAUAUGACACUUAAUUUUUGCUUGCUGCCAACUUUUUUUGGCUGCUCAUCCCGUUAGAGUUUCAGUGAUGCACUGAGAGUUGGACUCUUGUUUUGUUGCAUGUCCCAGUGUUACUGUUCCAGAGCAGGCAUUAAGAAUGUUGGCUGGCUGAAAAGAGUGGUCCCCUUGUCUGUAUUUUGACAUUGAUAAUGCAUUAGGAUUUAAUCAAUUUAUGAAUCAUAUAGGAAGGUAUGCUUGACUUUUGAAUGAAUGGUUUAAAAGAUAACUUUGGAAGUUGGUUCGCUAGUAAUGAUUAUUGUGUGUGAUAUCUUCAGGAAAACUCGUACUUGUAUUCAUACUCCAGGAUAUCCUCCCAUGAUACUGGAUGAUCUGUCCCAAUCAAGCCUAUUAUCUGCAUUGGAUGGAGUAAGAAUUGUCUAUUCUGAUGGAAGAUUGCCUGAAAUUGCUUUAGUUGUUGCACAAGAGGCGUAUCGCCAAAAUAUACCUAUUUUAAUUGAUGCAGAAAGGAAAAGGGAAGGUUUGGAUGAUCUUCUGAAAUUGGCUAGCUAUGUUGUAUGCUCUGCAAAAUUUCCACAGGCGUGGACUGAGGCACCAUCUAUUCCAAGUGCACUUGUUUCUAUGCUUUUGAGGUUGCCAAACAUUAAAUUCGUGAUUGUGACCUUGGGUGAAGAUGGAUGCAUAAUGCUUGAGAGAAGUACUAAUGGUGAGUCUAUAAUUCACUAAAUGCUGAGGAGGAGGAUCAUAAAAUUCAUGUUAUUUUCCUUUUUUCGGUUAGAAGCUCCUGUAUCAGAGGAAACAGAUGUUGAUAGUUUGUUAGAGACACUGAAGAAGAGAAAGGAUGAUGCAAUUGCCAUCCCAAAAUGUUUCUCAUCGUCAUUGACAAAGCUAAGAGCAAAUGGGAUAGGAACAGUUAAUGGGAGGUUGUUCGUGGGAACAGUGGAGAAGAUUCCUCCACCAGAACUUGUUGAUACAACCGGUGCUGGAGAUGCCUUUAUUGGAGCAGUUCUUUAUGCUAUCUGUGCCAACAUGCCACCAGAGAAAAUGUUGCCGUUUGCUGCUCAAGUGGCAGCUGCUAGCUGCAGAGCCUUGGGAGCUCGAACUGGUCUUCCACACCGCUCAGACUCCCGCUUGGCACCAUUUCUGCUUUAAAAGAGUUCCCUAAUCGUAAUGGUUUGUCUUUUUUUUCAAAUCAUUGGAGAUCUUUAAACUAUAAUUUUUGUCCAUAAGUAAUGAACAUGUUUCUUUCAUAA
Molecule: unclassified non-coding RNA, 2310 nt
Filed under: Hevea brasiliensis (rubber tree)
Lineage: Eukaryota; Viridiplantae; Streptophyta; Magnoliopsida; Malpighiales; Euphorbiaceae
Source: RNAcentral